GAUGAACGCUGGCGGCAUGCCUAAAACAUGCAAGUCGAGCGGUAAGGCCCCUUCGGGGGUACGACGAGCGGCGGACGGGUGAGUAACGCGUGGGAAUCUACCCAAACUGAGGGAUAAGCAUUGGAAACGAUGUCUAAUACCGCAUAUGGUCUUCGGAUUAAAGCUUCGGCGGUUUGGGAAGAGCCCGCGUAAGAUUAGCUAGUUGGUGAGGUAAAGGCUCACCAAGGCGACGAUCUUUAACUGGUUUGAGAGGAUGAUCAGUCACACUGGAACUGAGACACGGUCCAGACUCCUACGGGAGGCAGCAGUUAGGAAUUUUCCACAAUGGGCGAAAGCCUGAUGGAGCAAUGCCGCGUGCAGGAUGAAGGCCUUAGGGUUGUAAACUGCUUUUAUACGUGAAGAAUAUGACGGUAACGUAUGAAUAAGGAUCGGCUAACUCCGUGCCAGCAGCCGCGGUAAU
RNAcentral lists this ribosomal RNA (460 nucleotides) under uncultured bacterium. Its description in RNAcentral is "bacterial SSU rRNA". It matches the Rfam family "Bacterial small subunit ribosomal RNA", at positions 28 to 524 of the family's 1533-position model. The record is from RNAcentral.